Non-coding RNA from Cyanistes caeruleus (blue tit), 12890 nucleotides. The record is from RefSeq and is a predicted model, not a curated record. NCBI's taxonomy places the organism in Eukaryota, Metazoa, Chordata, Aves, Passeriformes, Paridae.
UUUUUAUUUGCUCCUUGCGGUUCACUGGAAUCGUUUGAAUCGAACUAUUGGAAAAACAUCCCACCAAAAACAUCUUUGGGAUCUUUACAAUUUCAGCUCUGGCUACUUCCCUCUACUUCAGUGGAGGAAUGGCCAAAAAGACCAUGUAUUUCAUUGCAGUGUUUGGGAAGACUGUUUGGAAUAAGCAUUUGUGAUGAGGGGACAUAAAUAAUAGCAAUCUGUGGCCUGCACUACUUGUCAGUUCAAUGUCAUGCCUAUUCAGGCCUUAGCAUGCACCUGAUAUUUCCAUUUUCACUCUCACCUUUCCUUGUCAGUGGUUUGGUCUCCUCUGGGACUACACCAAAUUCAGCCAACUCAGUGACUUCACAUUUAAAAGUCUCUAUCAUUUUUUCUAGAAGUGUUUUUUUAUCCUCCAUGAUCUGGCUGUGAGCCAUUCACACAGGUAAAAUAUGAUAGUCUGAGGGCUCCAGUCUUCCCUUCUCACAGCUGGAGGUGUUUGUGGCAGAUGUGAUUUGAGGACUUGUCCAAGGAGUCCAGGCUGCAUUGCCAAAACUUUCUAUCAAUAUGAACAACUACCACAGAAUUCAGAAUUAAGGCUGUAUGUAUUUCCAUAUACAUACAUAAAACAAGCCCUCAUGCAGCUGAGAUAAGAGAUAGGGUUGUUUACUAUAGCACAAAUUUAAGGGGAUGAAAUAUCCAUGAAAGCUGUUUUGGUCUAGCCAUUGGUUGAAAUGGACGUGGUGCAUUGACUGUUCAGCAAGAGGCUGAUCAUGUACCUACACUUGAGAGGUUUAAGACUCAGUGCUUCAAAGAACUUCCCCUAUAGACUGGUUAAUAAUAAUUUAAGAGACAUAACUGUGCAUUUUAAUUUGCCUGCCUUCAUCUGCUGUAUUGUGGUUUUAGAGCACUGUAUAUGACAAACCUUCCAGGAAUCUCAAACACUAAUUGAAGUUCCACUGAAUCACUUAAAGCAGCUGAAAAACACCAUCAGAGAGGCCACACAACUGCAUGGAAUGUGAUGAAUUUCCAGGAAUAGGAUUGUUUCCUGGAGAUUAUUGUGUAAAAUACAAGUACAAAGAAGGAACAAAGGUAAUGCUGACAAUGUCUACAUUGCUAGGCUAUUUUAGUUUGUGAAAAAAAGAAUGAAGAAAAUAGACAAGCUGUAAGACCUUUGCUAGGCUAACAGGAAGCCUAGAUGUCAAGAGCAGGCUCUGAAACAAAGCAGUUCAAAAUUAUCUCAGCAUAAAAUACAACUUUUCCAUGAUUUUAUCUUACAAAACCAGAUCCACUUUUAGCUUGAAUGGAUUCCUAAUGGAAAAGUUAAGAGCUCUAUGCCAUGCUUUCAUCCUGCAGUAAUAAAAGAAUGACUAUGUAAAAGGCAAUAAUCAUAUAGAAGAAGGUAAAGUCUGCAGUUCUGAGGAGAAAGGAGAGCAGUGUAUUUGGGGAACACAAGCAACAGGAAAUCUGACCAUUCAUUUUCAUUAAGAAAUCAAUUCCGCUGACUAGGACCUACUCUGAAGCAGAGGUUAUGCAGAGAACUUUCAGAAGAAAGUACCACAUAGCAUGUGCAAAAAUUUGGCCUCUGUAUGUAACAAAAGCAAUCCUUCCAGGAGAGCUUCUUUCUCUUUUCCUUCAAAGAGACUCUGCUCCAGCAUUCUGAAGGAAGUCUUAUUUAAAGAGCUUCACCCAAACUGCCAGCAGGACACAGUCAGUGGUGUCUGUGAGCCCGAGUGUGACAGGGAAGGUGCAGACCAGCCCAGAGCUGUGCCAUGGAUGCACCACACCAUGCAGGAUGAAUGGGGAUCGUGUGACUGCCCAGGGCCACGCUCAGUGCUGCUUUAGCUUACCCAUGCAGACAUUUCUGCACAGCUGCAGAAAUAUCUGCAGGGAGGGAAGGAGGGAGGAGAGGGCAGCAGAGCCACCUCCCUCAGCAGAACCAUCAGCUUGUGCCAGCUCGUGCUAUUCAUGGAAUUUCAGCUCAGCCCUUACAACAGCACUGUAUGCCAGAUAGAUAGACCUCCUCCAGGCUUACACUGGGAAAACAUGCAGCAGUGCCAGCCUACCAAAAGUGAUGCACCAGCUUUCAACAGAGAACGGGAAGGGAAUUUUUUUGCCCUGCACCUGUAUUUUGCCAUUACCUCCACAGCAUGUCAGUGGUGUAGCCUUUAGUCCGUGCAUCACAGUACAACUCCCCCACAAAAGGCAUCACUGUGCAGAGGUACUGGGCUAGUCCUGAGGAGCUGGGAGAGCUGCGUGGCACAGCCCACAGCCCUUUGCUUACAGCCCAGAAAUAGCCAAGCUGCAUUAGCUGAAAAGGAAGACAGCAAUACAGGCAAGCCCAUCCAGAAUGGAGAGCAGUCUGCAUUCCCUCUUCCGGCAUGUUUCUUAACAACUGAGGAGAGAACGCCUACAGGAUUAAAAAAAAAAAAGUUGUCAAUUACUGUUCCUUUUUCUUCCAGUCUAACAAAUAAAACCACACUACUGGCUCAAGUUCUUUGAAUUUGACAAGAACAUUAAGUCAUUAUGAAAAAACAGAAAGACAGGAAAUGAUGAGCAACUUUCCAGCAGAAGCAACAGCAAUAAUGAAAACCUUGAUUAGUUAAAGCCUUGAUAAUUACACCCAGGAUCACCCAGGCAAUCUUGUUUUGUGCCUUUCAAUAGAUCCAUCUUUCUUUUGUCUCUCCCAUCUUCAAUGUUUAUGUUAGACUUUGCUGAUAAAGUUAAAAGCUGAAAAGAGGUUUUAUAUAUAUGCAUAUAUAUAUAUUUUAUAAAUAUACAUGCAUGUAUAAAUGCACACUUGAAACUCUGAUCCAUACUCUCACUGAAAGCAUUGCUUUCUUCACCUCUUUCAAACUUCAUUAAAUGUGGAAUGGCUGAAUUGACCCACAGGUUACUGUAUCUGUAGUAACAAAUACAGUUUCUGCAGAUUUCUUAGGAGGAAGACUAUUUAUAUCACAUUCCCAGAGGUAAUUAGGUAAAGCAUAAACAUUAGUGAUGCAAUCUCUGUCAUUCCUCUAGUAAAUACUGAAUUUGCUGGUUGACUUCAAACAAAUAUUCCAGAAAAGUCUCAGAUAUACAGAAGGUCCUUCAAGUUGAAUCAAGAGAGAUAACUGGCUACGUAGGGGAGGAAGAUAGUGUUUCCAAAGUGUUCCAGCCAAGAAAAAGCCUCAAAGAUUAAGUUAAAACACAAAAAAAAUCUGUAAAAGGGAGGUCACUUUUAAAUAACUCAAGUAUGAGGAAAUCUUCAGGGACACUGAUCUGUAGGCCAGGCUUCAUUCCUUAAGUUGUUUAUGAAAUGAUGCAGUAUUAGAUUUUUCCUCCUGGGUUUCAGUUUUCUCAGCUUCCAUCCAGUUAUGAAAUAGUUUGUCAGGCUUCAGACUGAUUGCAUGCGUCUCCAAGCUAGAAACAGUAAAAAUCAUCUUCAGAUAGGAAUGUAAAGACAGUACCUGUGUGUCUUGAAAAUCCUAGGGAUCCCCAAGAUGAAGCACACAUUGAACUGACAGGAGCCCCUGCUACACGCAUUAGCUGGAAUACCUACAACUCUGACACACAGCUAUGGCUCCAGACAAGCUCUACUGUUCUAUCGUCUUGGCUUUGCCACUGUUCCCCAAAGCACUCACCAAAAACUCCUUCAUGUGCAGAAAGGCAAAGGCCUUCAGAUUUUUAUUUUUUUUUUCCUCCUGGUACCUUUAAGAAGCUCUCACUGAGAAAUGACUAAUUCCUGUCCUUCAUCUUCUGUUCUCCUAAUUUGGAGAGUGGCAGGAUCAGGAAUAUGCCUGAAGAUUCAAAGCAUUUUUGAGUACAUUUUCCUACAAGCAACCUUCCUAUAAUGAUGUGGUAGUUGGUGCUGCAGCUGGAGAAGGUGAUGUUGACCUCUGGUGACUAGCCUGGGGAUACCUGGUGGCAUGAUCACAGUGAAAUGCUUCUGGGAGCAGCUAGCCAACAAUUUCACUGAAGCUGGAACAUGAGAACAGUCACCCUCUUCAUGAAAGUGAGCAAAGUGAGCAGUUACACAUCCCUUCCAUGGAAUAGAAACACCCAGCUGAAACAAAGACCCCCACAAAAGGCUGCCUUAUAGCCUUAAAUAUGCAUGCAGAGAGAUUUAACUAGAAGACAACUGCACAGUGACUGCAAACUCAAAAGAGAAAAUGCACCCAAAGUGAAAGACUGCUUUCUUCAGUCCACAGACAUAAUGAUGUAAUCGAGGAGAAAAUCAGAGGGUGAGGAGUCAGUUAGGAAAGCACCUUAGCUAGCAGCAAUAUAUUAAAUAGGUUUCUCAAAACACAGAAAUUAAGCAAAAAGUGACAAUUGGGAUCCAUUCUAAAUAAGCAAAAUAGCAGAGGAACACCCCAGCAAAACCACUGUUUUUUUGCUGACAUAUCACAAUAGACACAACAUUUCACCAGAUUGUAAUGAAAAAUAUUAUUAGACACCAAAAAAAUUGUCACCAGCAACCUAUAAAUUUGAUUUUUAAAUCUCAUGGAUUCUACAGAAUUAAACCAUUUCUUCAAUUACAUUUGAACAUUAUGUAGCUUAUGUUAUAUUGCACAUUCAUAAAAUAAAACCAGAAGACAAUACAUGAUGCCUUAGAAAGUUACUCAGAACUUAUCUACAGACUCAAAAUAACAAGUGUUUUAUUUUCCCAUUUAUUCAAAAGAAAUGAAGAAAAAAACGCUUUCCAGCAGAGCCAUUCAAGAUAUCUGAAGAAAUAAGAUACUCAAGAAAAGGAUAAACAACAAAAAAUGAUUUGAGGACUAGGAAGAAGAGUACAUUUUAACCUAGUGACAGCCUAAGCAAGGUAGUGACUUUAGUGCCCCACGGAGACAGAGAUUCCCAGAAAAAGGGAAAUUAGGUGAGCAGAGCUUGCUUCCAGGUUACUAAUCUGACAUGGAUUAGAAGUGGGAAGAAGAUGACCAGAAUUUAUAUUCCCUCCAGAAUUAAGCUCUUUCUCAAUGGAAAAGGACUUCUCAUUUCCCAAGAUGUUUUCAAUUUAAUACAACUUUUGUAAGAGCAACAUCAAUCUUAAUAACUCAGCUUACUUCUCAGCUUGAACUGAUUAGCAUCAAAACUGGGCAGACACAAAUGCACAUUCUGAAUUCAAAUCCAUACAUUAAAAUAAGGAAUUCCCUAGUGUUUUGCUGUUUGGGUAGUGCAUUUGCUCUGCACACAGUGAGGACAAACUGGCAUUGCAGCCCCCACAUAAGCUUUCCAUUCCUGGUUUCUAGUGUGUUGCCCCAUACUGCAGAAACUGGAACUCAAGGGUGUGUUUGCAGUCAGACCUCAAGGAGCUUAAUUUAUAAUUUGUAUUUAAUUCAUUUAAAUGCUUUUUUCAAGCGUUCUUUGCGAAGCUUUGCCGGUACCUGAAGCCUGCACGGCUGCCAGCCAGGCAAUAGCGCCGUCAGGGGGACAUGCAGGGUGCAGUGUCCUGAGGCCGUGGAAAGUACAUGCAGCAGAAAUGCCUCAUGCAAGUUCCUGGAGCAUUUCAAAGCUGAAAUAAAUGGACAUCUCAAUGGGAGAUUAAAACAAAACAAAACACCCCAAAACCAAAACACUGCACAGCUUUACAAAUGCUCGCUUUAGUUUCCUGGGCAAUACCUGAUAGUUUCUGAACACUUAACUAGUAGCUUAAUUUUUGAAUCUUUAAUUAUCAUACACACAUACCUUUUACAUUUGUGUAACUGUUCGUAAAUGACUGCAGUCCUUUUGUUAGCGUUCCUCAGCAUAUAUUCUCUCUCUCAACUGGAGAUGUUCUCAGGAUACAUCAUCAUUUUGGGGGGGAAAGGCAAAGAUGUGAUUUGACAAAUAUGUCAGGUCCCCAGCUGCACAGGAUGAAUUUUCCAUGCUUCACCGGCAAUCUGAUUCAGUAUCAGUAUAUUCAGCUUACACUAAAAGCUCUCUGAUUUUCUAGCAUAUUACUUUGGCUGAGAAAAAGUUAAGGUAAAUGCUACUCCCUCCUCACUGACCUAUGGACUUAAAUAAUUGCCAAAGAAGCCAUUGACUUAACUUGAUGAAGAUGGCAAAAGUACAGCUGUUAGCUAAACAACUGCUAAGGAUACAAGAAGAAAUCUGUUAAGAGGAGACUCAGACCUACAGACAAAGCUUUCCCUCCCAAAUAGUAUUUUUCCAGUACCAUUUGCCAGCUCAAUUCUUUCAACAUAUAGCAGGCACAGCCUCUAGAAUUACUGAGUUUGCCUCCCAAUCUGUAUGUUUCUUAUUCCAUGUUUUGUAGUUGGAUAUGGCCACUAUGUAGGUCACUGUGUAUUUCUAUCUACAGAUGACCAAAAGUGGCACAGCCACUGAAAUAAUCAGCCCUACUGUGCCCUUCCCAGCUCUUUCUCUCAUGCCAGCACAAGCCUGCAUUCUCUUACAUACCAGGUUGUAAUUUUGUCAUCAACGGUGGAUCCUAAGGGAGAGACAGCAACCACAGUGAUUUAGUAUCUCCCCGACCUCAGUACAGAAGCCAAAGGAAUGUUUACCUAGACACACAGGAGAUAAUUUUCUCUGUCAUCUAGAAGCUUUAGGGGACUCCUUUGCCCUAAGGAAUGAUUAUUAUGAUUAAAACUCACUUAGGGGUGGGCUGUUAAUGAGCAAAGGCAGUUGAAAUCAAAUGGCACACAGUUGAAGACAGAAAAUUGUGAAAAAUGCAAGAGGAAUUUUGCAACUCAAUGGAGCUCAAAGCAUUAUUAACCAUAGCAGACUUCUGCAGCACAGGUUUGUUAUUUUCUGUUAAAAACCCCAAACCAACCCAAAACAGAACAAAACAGCAGCUUUUUUCAGGGAAAAAAAAUUCCCAAACAUCAACUUGUACUCUGCUCCACUUCUGUUUUGAGUUUGUAGUGUCCUGGAGCAAUACUCCAAGGAAGCAAAUGACUGAGAUCUGAACUGAUUAGGCCUGAAGUCUUAAAAGACAAGUUGUCAUGCACUAUUUGCUACUUCACUGCUGACUCAAUAACAUUCAGCUCAUGUGCAUAUUCCACUUCCCCAUCUGCUCACUGCUUCAGCUUCCCUCUGACAGUUGUGCAUUUCCAGUAAAAACAUCUUUGAUAUAUUAAGAACUAAGUGCAGGGCAGCGUAAAACACGCACCACUUUUCAUCAAGGUAUCAGAAGCACUACUCUAUCGACUAUUAAUCUUUAUUUGUGAGCUUAACCUAUUAAAAGGUUCCAUUUAAAAAUAAUAAAUAGCUAUAUAUUGUAGCCUAUUGCAACCUGAAGCAUUAUGCAGAAUUUCAGUCUCUUCUGCUAUGGAAUAUGAGGCUCUGUUUGUAUCUUGGUGGAUCUGUGCAAAUCUAUGGCAAUGAAAAUCAACCUGUCUUUAUAAGGUGCUAGCAUUAUUAAAUCCGCCUUGCUAUAGGUGAAAGCAAGACUCAGUAAAUUUAAGAUUUUGUUCCAAAGUUUAUCAGUUUUAUCUGAAGCAAUGCAGGAAAGAAUACAUUAUCAGUUCAGACUGUUUAGUGGAUUUAUUUCUCAAGCCAGCAAAACGACACACAGUUGGCAUAAAAACAGAUUUAAACAAAAUAAGAUUCACAUGUACUUGCCUUUGACAUUGUUGCUUGUUUCUAGCUGUUUUUUGUAACAGAAAACUUACCUAUUUUCUUUUCAUGCAUAUGUCAUAAUUUAUAACCACAGAACAGAAAGAAAAUAAAUCUUUGUUUUACAAGAUCCUUUUACCGAGACAUCUUGAAGAACAAGUUGGAUAACUUGAAAGAGUCAUUUGGAAUAGUAUGAAUACCCUGAACUUCCACUGGCUUUGGGUGGGAGUCAAGUACACUCACUAAGCAGUUACUCAAAAACUCAGCACCUUACAGAAUCAAUCCCCUGCACAGCCCUCAAGUUACUUCAGCAGUUUUCUUUAAUGGAACACACUGCUUUGAAGGAAAAACUAUCAGUAGCUGUCAUCAGCCAGAUUAAGGAACUGAUUCAGCAGUGAAAAUUACUUGCUCUACAACAGCUGCUCUAGCUUUUCUCCCCUUUUCCCCUCUUGUAGUGUAGUUUUCGACCUACACUACACUCUGCUGCUUUGACACAGCCACUUUGUCCACCUCAUAAAAAGCAAUGCCAACUUUGGGUCACCUUAAUGCACAUUGAAAUACAAUUCAGCAACUGUUGCUGGAGAACCAGAAUCAUCGCCAAGUAGCAGAAAACUUCCUAUGGAGCACAGAAAUUACUGGCACUGCUCCAUAAUAGAGCACUAAUCUAGAUAAAACACAAGCAACCCAAGGAAAACAGAGUAUUGGGGAUUAAUGAGACCACAUAUUCACCAGUACUCAUGGGUUACACAUCAUGGAUGUGUAUUUCCCCUUCUGUCCUGAAAUUUUCAGGCAACCACUGUGGCCACAACAACUGAGCAUAUCUGUUAUCUGAUAACAAUUGUUCAAGACAUGCUAUUUACAAACUCCUGAAAAGUUGUUUUUAAAUCUAUCCUUAUACUUUCCAUCUCUUAAUAUUUUAUUUUAGAUAAACAUUUUUAGUAUAUUUGUGUGUCCUAAGCCUGUUUAAUACCAGAUCAGCAUUCAAUAUCUAUGUAUGUGCGUAUAUGUAGCUCUAUAUAUAUAUAUAUAUAUAGUAUAUAUAUUAUAAUCCAUGUAAAGAAGUCAUGCCCAUUUGGUUGUAGUAAUGUACUACAAUUUUUAAAAAACAAAAACCAAAGAGGCAGCCAAGGAUAAUUACUCUGCAAGCAAAUACAAAGUUGCACCCUAAGCAGUUACCAUAAAGGGGGGUACUGAUCUUUGUCCUGUUUUACUGGCUUUUGGUGCUUGCCAGACUCUACCAGACUAAUUCUGCUCAUUAAACCAGCAGAAAACUAGUACACUAAAAUGUUUUGCCAGGCUUUUGCAUAGAAUCAGCUCAGCAUAAGGUCCAGCAAAAGCUGAAACAAUGGUUAGACCAGAGGGCGAAAGCACAGAGGUCAGAGGAACCUCCCCAAUGAUGAUGAUUACCUUUAGCUAUCACUAGAAAACCUCACCCAACUGUCUCAUCACAAUUUUAUGCAUUUCUGCUACUGAGCAAGGCCAAUUCCAAAUGAUAAUCAAUUCACCAUACACUUGCAGGCUAGCUAUGUUUGCAAUGAAGAGUAAUGAGCUACAUUCCUUUUUCCUCUUUGCCAUCCAUAUAAUAGAAUCCUGAACCCUGACUUGAGGGAUUUUCAGGUUGCAUUGGCAGGGAGAUUGCACUGACUGACUUUUCUACAUACCUCCUGUUACAGUUUUCAUCCCUCCACACUUUCCAAAUACUUGCUUUACAACUUCUUUUGACAAGAGUAUUGGUUCUGCAAUAGAUAGAUAUGCAAGUAUGAGGAAGGGGAAAAGAAGUAACUUUUAUUCAGUGUAUUAUAAGUAACACUUAUAAACAGUAGCAGAAAAUACAGAAAUAGCAUUUUCAUAAGAGGAAGAAAGCAAUAGCAAGUAAUAAAUGUACCUGUUUAACAGCAGGCCUAUGAGCACUACAGACUGAUACCCCCCUGUGUUAAGCACCACGCUGCCAGACCCGCCUAUGGGCAGGUUAUACUGCCCAAGAAACACUUCCCAAGACCCUUGCUGAGCUAAGCAGUAAUAAUGAUCUCUCAGAUCUCUCCUGUUACUUGAAGCAAUUAUUCCUCUCCCCUCUCUCUGCAGGUAGACUAAUUUUCAUCCUCUUUUCUCCACAUCUCCAAGUGUUAAAUGCAUAUGACUUGCAUAUCCAUAUGAGCAGAAAGUCUUUUAGCUGGCUCCUACAAAGCAGAGUGCACAUUUGUACAAAGUAACAACAGAUUAUAGGUUAUUAGAAGUCAAAGAGUGAAUGAAUAUCACAUAAAUGGAGUAACAUAAAGAAGCAACAAGACAAAGAUGUAAUGGUUCCUUUAAUAAACGCACUGGACUGAGAUCAUGCCUGAACCCUUGCAGAUGCCAGUCCAGCCCCAGAGUGGGUCGCUACUGCCCCCUGCAUCACCUACGUGUCCUAGCAAUGGAGCAGAAAGAGUCUUCAUGUAACGCCAGGAUGGAGACUUCUCCAGACACAGGAAUUCCUGAAACAUUGCUGCAUCCUGCAAGCAUAUAGGACCACAGUAUCACUGCUUAUUUCUUCCCAUCAAUUACUAUUCCCUCUCCCUUGCCACAGCCUACAUUACUCGCUAUCAGGCUGGAGAUACACUGCAGUCUCUGCAAUCCCUCUGGGAAAUGCACUACUAUGUUUGCACAUUUCAGCAACUUGCCCACCCAACAAGGCCAAAUAAAGUGUGAGAUCUUGAUUAAAUCACAAUCUCCAGAAACAGUCAGAGUUCUGCAAAAUUCUUCCUAGAAACAAUCCACAGGAAGACAUGAACUGCCUCCUGCUUUCAGAACUUGCAGCCAUAUAUUUGCUCCCACAUUGUUUUCAUUAAUCCUGGCAUUUAUUGGGGUAGAAAAGGAAGACAGUUACUUAUUAGAAAUGGUUACGGAAUGAACUUCAGAUUACAGUCUUGAAGGUGAAAAAGCCACAUAACCAAGGAAGUAUGUUACCAUGAUGAAAAUCUACUGACUAAAAAAAUUAAGCUAUUAGAGUGACAAUAAGUUGCCAUGAAAACAAAAUACAAAAAUCUGUAGAAGCAUGAAAAAGUUAUAAAAAUCAUCACUUGCUUUAUUUUACUAACACUAUCUUCUCAAAACAGGUAAGCUGCAUAAAUUUUUAUUAGUUAUUUCAUUUCAUGUCCAAGAAGAAAGGGCCACAUUUCCGUAGAAGUUACUAGGAAGGUUCUUAUUUUGAAAAAUAAAAAGCUAGCACUUGAAUAUGUAACACUACUUGCAUGUCUGAGCUUUUUCCCUUGUUUAAAGAACAUGGAGUCAAACCCAGGCCUGCAGAAAAUGCCAUCAGGUAUCAUCUUGCAUUUCAAGAGAAACAAGAUGCUUGAGCUAACAUCACAUGCAGUACUUGAAAUACAUUCAUGAUUUACCAUGAGCAGCAUUAUUAAUGGCAGUUUAGCCACACAACAGCGGUACGUGCCAAGCUGAGGAAGAAACACUGCCAACCUGUUCUCCCAGUACAAUUCCAGUCUGCAUUUGAUACUUACCCAGCUGACAAAAAUUAAAGUGGGAGACUUGGAAAAGGUUCUGUAGCAACAAUUAAGAAGGAAGCUCUGUUCUAAGUCAACACAAGAACUUCUCUCCAAAUCCAGAAUAUGAAAACUGUUUUGAUGUGGACCAUAGCGUUCAUUUCCUACUGCCGUUCAUUAUCUUCACUUUCCUGUAGAACACAGACCUGCUACAACACAGCUGGACAGCUGGAAGCAAACUCCUGAGCUUUGCAUUAAAUGCAACAUCUCUUAUGAAAAAUAAAGAACAGUUCAUAGAAUUGUAAUGCAAACAAAAAUUUAAUCUUUAAACAAAAUGUUCAUGAUACGGAAGGUCACAAUACAAAGUUCUUAAACACAAUACAACACAAACAAGUUGAAAAGCCUUUUUUGAUUGGAAGUGAUUAUUUAUACAAAGACUAGAUGCCAACAAUAUUAUUGUACAAAGUUUGACAGUGGAUUCAUAAAUUGAUUCCCUGAAAAUUCCCUUGUUUUGAAGAAAUAGUGAAUAUUAAGGUAAUGGCUGAAGUGAAUUCAAGGAAUUUAGAGUUACAUUUGUUUCCAUCCUCAAUUCUAAGCACUUGGAUUAGGUUUCAUGGUACAAAAGGGAUAGUAAAGGCACACUGUGGUUUGAAAACAAGGCUAGAUAUCAUAGCCUUUACACUUUCCGGCUUUUGUCUGGGUGUUUUUUAAACAACCAAACAUGCAGCUAAAAGAAUCCAACCCUCCUGAGGGGGUGCAGAGUGAACAAAUUAAAGUCUGCAAAAAAUCUAACCCAUUUAGCCUAUAAAAUGAUAUUACUAUUAAUUAUGCAUUUGAGUGAUUCCUCAAAGCCUCUACCAUUUCAGAAAUGAAGUACCUUUCUCCAAGUUAUUUCUGUUACUUCACUCCUGACAGAACUAGUGUAAAAUGCACACUUAAGAUAAUUUUUCACCUUCAUCAGUUUGGCUGAUAAUGGAAAAGGACUGAUGCAUUCCUAAAAAGUUGAAGCUAUUGACCAAGUCAAUUAGUUGCUGAUUUAACCUUUUCAACACAGCUUCCUAAUUUAGAAAAAAGAUUUAAAGAAAAUACUCAUUUAAUCUGAUCUAAAUUAUUAGACUGCAAAUUCUGGCAUAAAGUGUUCUUGAAUGUUGAGUUAUGAAGUCCAGACAGGCCUAUGGCAAUUAUUAACACAAGUCUUGCCACAGGGGUGUAAAUCAAUGCAUUGUGGUUUAAUUACAUGUACCACAACUAGUUCUGUUGAUGAACCAUGUCAAUUUCUAUGGGACUGUUAUACAACUCAAAAUUAGUUAACAGAGUUUGGAGGAGUUACAUAUGGGCAUUAUGAAACACUGUUCCAGCAGCACUGGUCUGCACAUAAACACAACUAAUCAGUUUAAACUAAACAUUUAUAGAACUACAUAGAAAGCAAUAGUUUUACCACAUUUUGGUUCCCUGAGAAGAAAAGUGCUUCAACAACAAAGGUCUUUGGAAUGCCAUCAGUACAGAGGAUAAAAACGCACCUCUUGUACUGCUCCUGCAAAGGCAUCUACUUUCAUGUUGAUCAGACUUGUUUGGGCAAUUUCAUUCAAAAUAAACCUUACACUCCAUAAAACUGGCAGUAGAAUGGGUGCAAGAGAUGACUAAAAGUAGUCUACUACUAAAACUAGUUUUAUCUGUGAUGAUUUGCUAUUACAAACUGGAAUGCAGUUUGUUAGCACACUUCUUGAACACCAAGUUGUUAAGGGCACAGUUUUAUUUCAUCUGUUUAACCCAUAACUGAGAUUGAUUUUUGAAAGCUCUAUUAUGUCAAAGUUUUAAAAUGUGUUUUUGGAAAGCAUGCUAACCUCUUCUUUCCCCAGGGUCAUAACUUAUGUUUUUAGUGAACAU